CCACGCACUCCUACGGGAGGCAGCAGUGGGGAAUAUUGCACAAUGGGCGCAAGCCUGAUGCAGCCAUGCCGCGUGUAUGAAGAAGGCCUUCGGGUUGUAAAGUACUUUCAGCAGUGAGGAAGGUGGAUAUGUUAAUAGCAUAUUCAUUUGACGUUAGCUGCAGAAGAAGCACCGGCUAACUCCGUGCCAGCAGCCGCGGUAAUACGGAGGGUGCGAGCGUUAAUCGGAAUUACUGGGCGUAAAGCGCAUGCAGGUGGUUUGUUAAGUCAGAUGUGAAAGCCCGGGGCUCAACCUCGGAAUUGCAUUUGAAACUGGCAAACUAGAGUACUGUAGAGGGGGUAGAAUUUCAGGUGUAGCGGUGAAAUGCGUAGAGAUCUGAAGGAAUACCGGUGGCGAAGGCGGCCCCCUGGACAGAUACUGACACUCAGAUGCGAAAGCGUGGGGAGCAAACAGGAUUAGAUACCCUGGUAG
This 471-nucleotide ribosomal RNA is filed under the name uncultured bacterium. RNAcentral's name for it is "bacterial SSU rRNA". It matches the Rfam family "Bacterial small subunit ribosomal RNA", at positions 329 to 793 of the family's 1533-position model. The record is from RNAcentral.